RNAcentral lists this ribosomal RNA (253 nucleotides) under uncultured bacterium. RNAcentral's name for it is "partial 16S ribosomal RNA". It matches the Rfam family "Bacterial small subunit ribosomal RNA", at positions 524 to 776 of the family's 1533-position model. The record is from RNAcentral.
UACGUAGGGUGCGAGCGUUGUCCGGAUUUAUUGGGCGUAAAGAGCUCGUAGGCGGUUUGUCGCGUCUGCUGUGAAAACUCAGGGCUUAACCCUGAGCCUGCAGUGGGUACGGGCAGACUAGAGUGUGGUAGGGGAGAUCGGAAUUCCUGGUGUAGCGGUGGAAUGCGCAGAUAUCAGGAGGAACACCGGUGGCGAAGGCGGAUCUCUGGGCCAUAACUGACGCUGAGGAGCGAAAGCAUGGGGAGCGAACAGG